GGAGCUGAUAUCAGGCACGCCCAAAACAUCUAGCCAUGCCACACCCAUAAGGGUAUUCAGCAGUGAUUAACAUUAAAAAUAAACGUCAGUUUGAUUUAGCUAAUGAAAUCAGAGCCGGCCAAUCUGGUGCCAGCCGCCGCGGUUACACCAAGUGGCUCAAAUUGAUUCGGCGUAAAGCGUGAUUAAAGUGAGGUUAAACUUAAACUAAGCCGUAAAACGCUUGCUACUAAGAAACCCUAACCGAAAGACACCCCAACACAUCUACUUGAACUCACGACAGCUAGAAUACAAACUGGGAUUAGAUACCCCACUAUGCCUAGCCGUAAACUUUAACCCACAUCGCCAGGGAACUACGAGCAAAGCUUAAAACCCAAAGGACUUGACGGUACCCCACAUCCCCCUAGAGGAGCCUGUCCUAUAAUCGAUAACCCCCGUUAAACCUCACCACUCUUAGCAGCCUGUAUACUUCCGUCGUCAGCCCACCGCAUGAGCGAGUGGGCCUAAUGUCAACACGUCAGGUCAAAGUGCAGCAAAUAAAGUGGUAAGAGAUGGGCUACACUCUCUAACCUAGAAAAAACGAAAGAUCACAUGAAACAAAAGGUGGAUUUAGCAGUAAAAUGAAAUUAGAAUAUCCAUUUUAACCCGGCACUAGGGUAUGUACACACCGCCCGUCACCCUCUUC
RNAcentral lists this ribosomal RNA (682 nucleotides) under Pristimantis gaigei (Fort Randolph robber frog). RNAcentral describes it as "partial 12S ribosomal RNA". It matches the Rfam family "Bacterial small subunit ribosomal RNA", at positions 354 to 1407 of the family's 1533-position model. Lineage: Eukaryota; Metazoa; Chordata; Amphibia; Anura; Strabomantidae. The record is from RNAcentral.